This 5845-nucleotide long non-coding RNA is filed under the name Malus domestica (apple). RNAcentral describes it as "long non-coding RNA (MDOM_LNC015965)". Lineage: Eukaryota; Viridiplantae; Streptophyta; Magnoliopsida; Rosales; Rosaceae. The record is from RNAcentral.
AAAACUCAGUUCAACCCAUAAUUGUAUCAAAUCAUAGAUCAGGUACAAUGAACUAGCAGUAAUGACUUUAAUUCAAUGAAAGUUUUAAGUUUACAAGGGAAAGUCAUAACUUCAUAUAUACGGCUAAUCACAAAUAUAAUACCGUAAAGAAAUCAGAACCGCUACCAUAUAUUAGAUGGGUAUCAAUCCAGCAACUAAUGCAAACAAGGGAACGUAACGGAUCUCCUUGUUUUCACAUUCAAAAUGAAAAAGAAAAUAAAACAACCAAAAGAUAAUCCCAACACAUGGCCCUCAUCACUACAAGCAACAAAAGAUGUGCGGUUCUUGAAUAACCAAUAAAAAACGAGAAAACAAAAAAUGAAGAAAAACAUAUGAUAUCCACCAGGGUCACGAAAAUCGCAAGGUAGUAGCAAUAAAAACCAAAUAUAAGCAACGCGUAAUACCCUUCAACCGCGAACGGACCAAAGCUGAAAGAACAGAGCCAAGCACCUCCAGAUCUACCAUCAUCAAGAUUCAUUUUCUUUACAAUAACGCAUUAUUAACGAGUAUUGACAGCACCAAGUUUCGGGUUUUUAAUUACUGUUUACACAAACUGAUAUAGCUGAUAACGCCGGUUUACAGCAAAUAUACCACCUAUCAAACCACUAAUCCGUUUUCAUCAUUUAAUAUAAAUCCGGAAAUUCAACGGAUCUAUCAAUCCAGAUCCAAUCAUAUCAUUUCCAAAUUUUGCAAAACAAAAUAUUAAAACACAACGAAAAAAAAAACCCUGGAAAUAAAAAUCACACAGAAAAUAAAAAACUAUAGUAAACAACAAGGAACACCAAACAAAACCCAGAUAGAAUCUAUUACAUAUAACUGGAAAUGACUAAGAGAAGAACCCUAGAGUGUAAGAUGCAAUAGAACCAAACAGAUCAACCAUAAAAUACCUUGAAAAGUCACAGAUUGAGAACAAAUAUAUUUAUUUAUUAAUUAAUUAAGCAGAUAAGAACAGAUUAACCUAAACAAUAAACAGAACAAUCAGAUAUGUAAAAAAAAAAGCCUAAUACUUAAUAAAAAUUAAAAAUUAAAAAUUAAAAAGCAGAAAAUGAAGGUACCUGAUUGAUUGAUAUCAUGUGGUUGUAGGAGGCAUUGGAGCUCCUGAAGCACUCUCUGAUUGCUCAGACAGAGAGAAAAGAGAGAUUUUUUUUCUUUUCUUUUACGGGUCAGAGGAGAGAGAAGAAGAUAGAGUGGUGGCCACUAGCUGGCUGUAGGGACAAGGAUAUCAAGAGAAGCAAGCAACAGUGACCUAUUUAACUAGGGUUAGGUUACGUUUUAACCGCGGUUGAUGCGUGGGGUAAUCUCUUGGUUUUUGGAUGUGGAAUAAAUGAAGGGGUAAUUGAUUUCAUUUUUGUUUGUUUGGGUUGCAUCUUCAGAGAAAUGUCAAAAAUUCCAUUCAGUAAUAACAGUAAAAUAAAAAGACAAUGCUAAUGAUUUCUAAUCGAAAUGUCAAUUUAUAUGUAGCAUAACGUGAAAUAACAGCUAAACUUUAGAAUUUAUGAGAGUGUCAUGUGGCUAUCAAAUUUGAUAUCCCGAGUCGUAUUAUUAAAUUUGGAUAGAAUAGUUUACAACAUUCACUAGGAUAUAGAAUAACUAUUUAGAAAAUUAUGUAGUUUUCUUUAGAAAUGUUUUUUUAAUUGAGGUACACAUCAUUAUGUACAAACUCUAGUUUUUUUUUUUUUUUUUUGUAAAAACACUAUUAUCUAUACUAAGACCAUCUCCAACUUUUGGAGAUAAAACUUAAAAAUUUAAGCCAAAAAAUUUUACGCCAUAACCUAGAAAUUACUUUUAUCUUCCAAUCCUUAUGGCUUAAAAUUUUAGCUCGAGAUUAUUAACUAAUGAUUUUAGCCUUUUUUUUUAGUAACUUUUCUGAAAAUAAAAUUUAUAUAGACUAUCUUAAUUUAUUUUGAUGAACAUUUUAAUCUAAAAAUAUUCACAUUCCAAUAAGUAAUUAAAAAUCAUACAAAUACACAGAUAUUUAUAAAGUUUUAAGUGAAAUUUGAUUUUAAAUAAUUUAAGACCUUAGAUGUCACAUCCUGGCCCGGGUCCUUUCCACCACCGUAGCACAAUAUUGUCUCUUCGGGCUUACCAUUCCCUCACGGUUUUGUUUUUGGGAACUCAUGAGCAACUUCUCAGUGGGUCACCCAUCCUGGGAAUGCUCUGACCUAAUUCUCGCUUAACUUCAGAGUUCUUACAAAACUCGAAGCCAGUGAGCUCCUAAAAGCCCUCGUGCUAGGUAUGGAUGAGAAUAUAUAUUUAAGGAUCACUCUUCUGAGCAAUGUGGGAUGUUACAAUCCACCCCCUUAGGGGCCCGACGUCCUCGUCAGCACACUUCCGGCCAGGAAUUGGCUUUGAUACCAAAUUGUCACAUCCUGGUCUGGGCCCACCACAUCCCGGGCAUGUUCCACCACCGUAGCACAAUAUUGUCCGCUUUGGGCUUACCAUUCCAUCACGGUUUUGUUUUUGGAAACUCACGAGCAACUUUCCAGUGGGUCACCCAUCCUGGGAGUGCUCUGGCCUCCUUCUCGCUUAACUUCGGAGUUCCUACAGAACCCAAAACCAGUGAGCUCACAAAAGGCCUCGUGCUAGGUAGGGAUGAGAAUAUACAUUUAAGGAUCACUCCCCCAAGCGAUGUGGGAUUUAAGGAUCACUCUCCUUGACGAUGUGGGAUGUUACAUUAGAUUUACUUUUGAGCCAUCAAAAUUUUUUUAUUAAAUAAAACUAAUAAAAAUGGUUUGAAAACUUUGAGUUUUAACGAUAAAGACAAAAUAAAGGGUAAAGUGAAUAGUAUCAUGAUUGACUUUUUAGUGUAAAAAUAUGAUUUUUCGUUAAAAUGAACAGUACCAGAAACUUUUCGUUAAAGUUCCCUUUUGAUUACCAUUAUAUUUGAUCUCAUUUAAUCACAGUCGUUAGAUUAUAAGUAAAAUUGAAAUAUGACAGUUUGAUGGGUCCAAAAUAGUUUUAAGUCAGGCUUAAAUCAUGUGGGAAUUUAGCCCAGAAAUAUAUUUUAUUCCCAUAACUUUAUUUUAGCCAAAUAGUUGGAGAUGGUCUAAAGAAGUAUGAGAGUGGACUAAGCCUCACAAUAGCCUAUCAAUAAUGUUGUUCAAAUUCGCUUUUGAUGAGAUUUGAACCUAAAACUUCUCAGUUAUAAGUGAAAAAUAAUAUCACUAUACUGUAGUACAAAAUGACUAUAUAUAACCUCUAGUUUAAUGUCUCUUUGUUGCUUAAAGACUUUGUAUGUUGUAGUUAGAAGUGACGUUUUCGUCUUGAAAAAAGUUAGAUGUGACGCCAGUGUGUACUUUUUUGUUAUUGAUGUCUCUUGAUGACAUCAAGCAACGUAUUUUUAAAUAAAAAAAAGUUUUUCUAAAUAUUCACCUUUGAGUUUGGAUGGAUUUGUAUACUAUCCUAUGUUCUAUCUUAAAUUUUUUUAAUAAAGCAUCUUACUUAACAAAAAUUUGAGAAUCAUAUACUCCAUCUAUGCAUGACAUGUCCCAUUUUUUAAGACAAAUGAACAGAAAAUGGUAUAAAUUGUUCCUUAAUUUUAACUUAAAUAGAGUAAUGAUUUAUCAAUUAAAAAUUCAUAAUCAUGGAUCUUUUUUUUUUUCCUGUUGAAAUGACCAUUGGUCUCUUAAUUCAUCAAAACGUGCAUCUACAGUUUUUUUUGUCAACUCCGUCAGAGUUCGGUCAAAAUGAGUCAUGUAGAAAAGAUCAUUGCUAUAAUUUGAUUAAAGUUGAUGGACUAUUGCUCCAAUUGAGUUAAAAUUGAGAAAUCAUUUCUCCAAUUGUGUUAAAGUUAAGGGAUUAUUGGUACAAUUUUCUCAUUUGAUUUUUCAUAUUUGCCUUUUAGUCCAGCCUUAGGUGCUUGGCACAGACUCAUUUUAACAAAAAAAACCUAACGAAACUGACGAAAAAAAUGGUAGGUGCACGAUUUGAUCACUAUUGCGUGGGCCGCAAAUAGUCUUAUCUUAUAUAGCUGCGAGCAUAGAACUCAAUGAAACAGAUUAUUAUGAGGUCAAUCUUUGAGUUAUAUUAUAAUUAAAAACUAAAAGAAAAUUAAAAGGGGGAUUUGGGCAAAGCUUAGCCCAAUAACCCCAUCUCUUCCUCGACUUCAUCCCAUCUCCUCUGUGCUUGUCUGCAACCAAUAAUCCCAUCUGGGUUCGGGAAGCUUCUUCUGCCGCCCUAUAGAUCUUCAACCUCUUCUUCCACGUGCAACCUUCUUCCUCCCUGAACUUCUUCCCUCCCUUAGUUUGUUCCUGCGAUUGUUCCUCCGCGCUUGUUCCUGUGAUUGACGCUGUCUUGCAUUGUCAACUCCUUCCUUUCCCUUCAUUUGUUCUUUCAGCCUCUUCAGAUUGUCAGAGGCGCCACUCACUGGUUUUCCUUUUUCAGGGAUAAUUCCAUAAACAAAACCCUGAGCUUUGCAAACUUCCAUCAUUUUCAGCAUAUAUUUCAGGAUUCCAUCUUGUGCCCGUGACAUCUUCUUCCUCCGCGCUUGUUCCUGUGAUUGACGCUGUCUUGCAUUGUCAACUGCUUCCUUUCCCUUAGUUUGUUCUUUCAGCCCCUUCAGUAGCAUUCGAUCUCUCCACAUCCUCUUCUCGAGCUCAUCAACAUCCAUUUCUUCAUCACUAUAAUCCUCCUCCACAGUUGCCUCUUGUUCAUGUUCUGGAGCUGCAUCCCCUUCCCCAGAUGGAGCCAAAAGAUAGUCAAGAUUACCAGAGAAACCUAACUCCUCAAAGAUCACCAUUUAGCACCGACACAAACCACGUCAACUUCUCCGCCCUUCUCUCACUUGUAAAAAGAUUUCCAAUCUUGCGCACAGUACUUAGCUUUAAAACUCCUAAGAGCCAAGGUUUGCCACUCAACCCGGAAAUGUAAAGAAAAUCAAAUCUUCUGCAAAUGAAAUAAAUUACAAAAAAACUCAGUUCAACCCAAAAUUGUAGCAAAUCAUAGAUCAGGUACAACGAACUAGCAGUAAUGACUUUAAUUCAAUGAAAGUUUUAAGUUUACGGCUAAUCACAAAUACGGCUAAUCACAAAUAUAAUACCGUAAAGAAAUCAGAACCGCUACCAUAUAUUAUAUGGGUAUCAAUCCAGCAACUAAUGCAAACAAGGGAACGUAACGGAUCUCCUUGUUUUCACAUUCAAAAUGAAAAAGAAAAUAAAACAACCAAAAGAUAAUCCCAACACAUGGCCAUCAUCACUACAAGCAACAAAAGAUGCGGUUCUUGAACAACCAAUAAAAAACGAGAAAACAACAAAAUGAAGAAAAACAUAUGAUAUCCACCAGGGUCACGAAAAUCGCAAGGUAGUAGCAAUAAAAACCAAAUAUAAGUAACGCGUAAUACCCUUCAACUGUGAACGGGCUAAAGCUGAAAGAACAGAGCCAAGCACCUCCAGAUCUACCAUCAUCCAGAUUCAUUUUCUUUACAAUAACGCAUUACUAACGAGUAUUGACAGCACCAAGUUUCGGGUUUUUAAUUACUGUUUACACAAACUGAUAUAGCUGAUAACGCCGGUUUACAGCAAAUAUACCACCUAUCAAACCACUAAUCCGUUUUCAUCAUUUAAUAUAAAUCCGGAAAUUCAACGGAUCUAUCGAUCCAGAUCCAAACAUAUCAUUUCCAAAUUUUGCAAAACAAAAUAUUAAAACACAACGAAAAAAAAAAAAACCCUGGAAAUAUAAAUCACACAGAAAAUUAAAAACUAUAGUAAACAACAAGGAACACCAAACAAAACCCAGAUAGAAUCUAUUACAUAUAACUGGAAAUGACUAAGAGAAGAACCCUAGAGUGUAUGAUGCAGUGGAACCAAAC